CCGCCCGCCCGCCCGCCCGCCAUGGGCUGCGGGAACUCCACGGCCACCAGCGCGGGCGGCAGAGAUUCAGGUUUCAUUUGGACCUAAAGCUCAGGCUCUGUGAACCCAAGAGAACCAGUACUUAAGGUACUGCAGGGACAGCAAAAGAUGUGACAGAAGAAUCGGUAUCAGAUGAUGACAAAAGGAGGAAUUAUGGGGGUGU
Long non-coding RNA from Alligator mississippiensis (American alligator), 202 nucleotides. RefSeq lists it as uncharacterized. Lineage: Eukaryota; Metazoa; Chordata; Crocodylia; Alligatoridae. The record is from RefSeq and is a predicted model, not a curated record. The transcript is spliced from 5 exons.